GACGAACGCUGGCGGCGUGCUUAACACAUGCAAGUCGAACGGAAAGGCCCUGCUUUUGUGGGGUGCUCGAGUGGCGAACGGGUGAGUAACACGUGAGUAACCUGCCCUUGACUUUGGGAUAACUUCAGGAAACUGGGGCUAAUACCGGAUAGGAGCUCCUGCUGCAUGGUGGGGGUUGGAAAGUUUCGGCGGUUGGGGAUGGACUCGCGGCUUAUCAGCUUGUUGGGGGGGUAGUGGCUUACCAAGGCUUUGACGGGUAGCCGGCCUGAGAGGGUGACCGGCAACAUUGGGAAUGAGAUAAGGCCCAGACUACUACGGGAGGAAGAAGUGGGGAAUAUUGCACAAUGGGCUGAAGCAUGAUGCAGCAACGCCGCGUGCGGGAUGACGGGCUUCGGGUUGGAAAACGCUUUCGCCUGUGACGAAGCGUGAGUGACGGUAAUGGGUAAAGAAGCAACGGCUAACUACGUG
RNAcentral lists this ribosomal RNA (468 nucleotides) under uncultured bacterium. RNAcentral's name for it is "partial 16S ribosomal RNA". It matches the Rfam family "Bacterial small subunit ribosomal RNA", at positions 28 to 507 of the family's 1533-position model. The record is from RNAcentral.